This 480-nucleotide ribosomal RNA is filed under the name Peptoniphilus sp. canine oral taxon 304. RNAcentral describes it as "bacterial SSU rRNA". It matches the Rfam family "Bacterial small subunit ribosomal RNA", at positions 9 to 467 of the family's 1533-position model. Lineage: Bacteria; Bacillati; Bacillota; Tissierellia; Tissierellales; Peptoniphilaceae. The record is from RNAcentral.
GAGUUUGAUUAUGGCUCAGGACGAACGCUGGCGGCGCGCCUAACACAUGCAAGUCGAGCGAUGAAAAGGAUUUGGAGUUCUUCGGGACAAAGAAACCUUGGAUUAGCGGCGGACGGGUGAGUAACACGUGAGUAACCUGCCUUUGACAUGGGGAUAGCCUCGGGAAACCGUGAUUAAUACCCAAUAACAUUUCCAAGUCGCAUGACAUGGAAAUCAAAGCGUUUAGCGGUCAAAGAUGGACUCGCGUCUGAUUAAUUAGUUGGUGAGGUAACGGCUCACCAAGAUAGCGAUCAGUAGCCGGCCUGAGAGGGUGAACGGCCACAUUGGAACUGAGAGACGGUCCAAACUCCUACGGGAGGCAGCAGUGGGGAAUAUUGCACAAUGGGGGGAACCCUGAUGCAGCGACGCCGCGUGAGCGAAGAAGGUUUUCGAAUCGUAAAGCUCUGUCCUAUGGGAAGAUAAUGACGUACCUAGAGAGCC